Oncorhynchus mykiss (rainbow trout) is the source of this 653-nucleotide non-coding RNA. The record is from RefSeq and is a predicted model, not a curated record. Lineage: Eukaryota; Metazoa; Chordata; Actinopteri; Salmoniformes; Salmonidae.
GAAGGAGAGAAAAGAAACACACACACAGGAUACUUGUAUCCGUAACAUCCACAAUCGGGAUGCCAUAGUUAAAGGCUUCCUGCAGCCACUGCCUCACAAUGCAGGCAUCACAGUGAUUGACGGCAGCCCUUUUCCAAUCCAGUUUUUUACUGUUUUAAAGAUCACUCAUUUUAUUUGCCUUCCUUGCCCUGUUGAAUAACCUUUUUUGUUAAUGUAUUCUGAUGAGGUUUUUAUUUAGCUCGUAUUCUGCCUGUAGAGAUACUGCAAAUUUUGGCUUGUGUCCACAACAGGCAACUAGGGUUUGUCCUGGCAGGUCUGUUAGACUUAUAACCAUGAGUGGUCAUUCGAAAUUGGCAUUGCCAGAGCUCCAUUGUGAGAACUGCAAGGAGACUGGUACAGCAGGCAUGAAAGACCUGCAAAGGAGUGGCUAUUGACCUGCCGCUGUCUUCUCAACAGACGUGAUCUCUUCAUAUGAAGAGCUGAACAUGGCAUGCCACAUCAAGCAUUUUUGACAAUGCUUGACCAGAGGACAGUGCGUUUUGGCAGAGUCAGUUGGGAUAGGCAGACUGAUGUCUCUCCAGACCACACGGCUCUCUUCAUCAAAUCGGAUCUUAUACCCAUCCCUGGCAAUAAAUAAUUAUGUUUUUAGUCGC